Molecule: ribosomal RNA, 550 nt
Filed under: Arthrobacter ginsengisoli
Lineage: Bacteria; Bacillati; Actinomycetota; Actinomycetes; Micrococcales; Micrococcaceae
Description: bacterial SSU rRNA
Rfam family: Bacterial small subunit ribosomal RNA
Source: RNAcentral
GGGGAAUAUUGCACAAUGGGCGAAAGCCUGAUGCAGCGACGCCGCGUGAGGGAUGACGGCCUUCGGGUUGUAAACCUCUUUCAGUAGGGAAGAAGCGAAAGUGACGGUACCUGCAGAAGAAGCGCCGGCUAACUACGUGCCAGCAGCCGCGGUAAUACGUAGGGCGCAAGCGUUAUCCGGAAUUAUUGGGCGUAAAGAGCUCGUAGGCGGUUUGUCGCGUCUGCCGUGAAAGUCCGGGGCUCAACUCCGGAUCUGCGGUGGGUACGGGCAGGCUAGAGUGAUGUAAGGGAGACUGGAAUUCCUGGUGUAGCGGUGAAAUGCGCAGAUAUCAGGAGGAACACCGAUGGCGAAGGCAGGUCUCUGGGCAUUAACUGACGCUGAGGAGCGAAAGCAUGGGGAGCGAACAGGAUUAGAUACCCUGGUAGUCCAUGCCGUAAACGUUGGGCACUAGGUGUGGGGGACAUUCCACGUUUUCCGCGCCGUAGCUAACGCAUUAAGUGCCCCGCCUGGGGAGUACGGCCGCAAGGCUAAAACUCAAAGGAAUUGACGG